UCCCUGAUUUGCUUCUGGGAAAACAAGUCUUGAGAGCUGCGGACUCGCCCGAAGUCACGGUGCUUGAGCAGGAGUCGUCCCUGGUUGAAAGAGGCUGCAAUCUCCCCUCCCCGCCUGCUGGUGGAUUCACAGCCUUCGCGGCCUCUAGGAAGCGCUAGACCCAUGUUUGCGGUGGGCGUCAGUGCACAUGCGCAGAGGGCGUGCUGUGUUGGCAGCAGCGAUUGUCCUUAGAAUCCUCUCGGAGCCAAUGGUCAUCACCACUGCUAGGAUUUAAAGAGAAAUGUCCCUUAUUGGCUCCUGGGUUGGCACUUGGUCCCCAGCUGGUGCUGUUCAGAAAGGUCAUGGAACUGAAGAGGCAGAGGCUUGUUGGAGUAGGAAGUCACAGGGGUGAGCCUUGAGGGCGCAUAGCCUGGCCCCACUUCCUGUCUGCUCUCUGAAUCUUCCCUGGAGAGCAGAGUGACUCGCUGCCUCGCAUCCUAGCUGUGACAGACCGAAUUCUUUCUCCUACCGUGACCCAGAGGAAACCAUUCCUUCCUUCAAGUUGCUGCUGCCACCGCAAUUGGAAAGUAAAUCAGAUGUGCAACUGCCAUCUUCCCGGAACAAGAGCUGUGGGUGUUGUAGGCUUCAUGUGGUCCAAAUGCAUAUGUCUUAAAUUUUUGGGAUGGUCCUUCUCUUCAAAUCAUGCAUCUCAGCUUGACUGCGUUUGGAACCACGUGGAAGCACACCCAUGGG
Molecule: long non-coding RNA, 732 nt
Organism: Acomys russatus (golden spiny mouse)
Lineage: Eukaryota; Metazoa; Chordata; Mammalia; Rodentia; Muridae
Exons: 3
Source: RefSeq, a predicted model, not a curated record